GAUGAACGCUGGCGGCGUGCCUAAUACAUGCGAGUCGAGCGAACGGACGAGAAGCUUGCUUCUCUGAUGUUAGCGGCGGACGGGUGAGUAACACGUGGAUAACCUACCUAUAAGACUGGGAUAACUUCGGGAAACCGGAGCUAAUACCGGAUAAUAUUUUGAACCGCAUGGUUCAAAAGUGAAAGACGGUCUUGCUGUCACUUAUAGAUGGAUCCGCGCUGCGUUAGCUAGUUGGUAAGGUAACGGCUUACCAAGGCAACGAUGCAUAGCCGACCUGAGAGGGUGAUCGGCCACACUGGAACUGAGACACGGUCCAGACUCCUACGGGAGGCAGCAGUAGGGAAUCUUCCGCAAUGGGCGAAAGCCUGACGGAGCAACGCCGCGUGAGUGAUGAAGGUCUUCGGAUCGUAAAACUCUGUUAUUAGGGAAGAACAUAUGUGUAAGUAACUGUGCACAUCUUGACGGUACCUAAUCAGAAAGCCACGGCUAAAUACGUG
Molecule: ribosomal RNA, 497 nt
Filed under: uncultured bacterium
Lineage: Bacteria
Description: partial 16S ribosomal RNA
Rfam family: Bacterial small subunit ribosomal RNA
Source: RNAcentral